GGUAGGAAUCCCUUUCCAAACAACUUUACAAGAUGCUGGCCACAUACAAUGAGAUGACAGAAGGAAGAGAGACACUAUUCCUGCCUCACAAGGCCUUCAGUCUAAUGGUGAGAUGAGAAGAUAGACAAUGACAAUGACUGCAAGAAAGUUUCCUGAGGAAGCUGAGUCUAUGCUUAGCCCUGAAGGACAAGCAGGACUUCUGAGGUGCGUGAUUUGGACCUUUCCAAAAAAGAAGGCUAGAAGACUGUGCUACUUUAACAAUAGAAGGAAGGACACCUACAACUGGACUAGAGAGUCCAAGCUGAAAGUGUUUCUACUGUGGCAACAGUUCCAAACCCAUCAUGGUCUCCCAUGUAUGUCAAGAGUAUUCCCUGAAUUAAACAAUAGAGUUCUCCACUGAUUCUUCUUGAGUAAGUUCAUCUCUAUUCCUGGCUUCUUCUGAAAUGAUUGAGUGGCUCCAUGAGUGGCAGGGCUAAUCUCUUCAAUAAAAGGUUGUCCAGCUAUACCCUUGGCCUUCUCUACAGAGCACAUUUUCUGAACAGUGAAUUCUCUAAUUUUAGCAUUCUUUGUAAUCUGAUAGAUUGGGAACUUCCCAAGCUAUCAGAUGUUUAUUAUUUUUGCUUAAAAUUUUCUUUUUUU
Molecule: long non-coding RNA, 639 nt
Organism: Cebus imitator (Panamanian white-faced capuchin)
Lineage: Eukaryota; Metazoa; Chordata; Mammalia; Primates; Cebidae
Exons: 3
Source: RefSeq, a predicted model, not a curated record